Molecule: long non-coding RNA, 344 nt
Filed under: Brachypodium distachyon (stiff brome)
Lineage: Eukaryota; Viridiplantae; Streptophyta; Magnoliopsida; Poales; Poaceae
Description: long non-coding RNA (BDIS_LNC003605)
Source: RNAcentral
AUCUAUAAUUGGAUAUUGCAACUUCGAACGGCUAAAACUACACAUGUUUUUCAUGUGAAAAUUUAGAUUUUGAAAUGUGCAUUUCGAUAUUCGGGCGGCUAAAGCAAACUUUUCUUUAUUGUUUUUCUAUCUCUGCGUUUUUGGGCGAUGUUGCCAAUUUAGAUCGGGGGGAAGGAGAGCAUGCCCCAUGAUUUUUUUCUCUGCACUGCUUUUUUUUUAGGGAAUUCUCUGCACUGCUUUUUUGGUUUUGCUUGGCGAGAAGGUUAGGGUUCCCAGAUGUUUUAGAUCACGCACAGAAAGGGGCUGCUGGGACGUUGGGUUUGUGUCCAGUGGACAAGUGUUUU